CAGUAGCCACGGGAAUACGAAGGGGGCUAGCGUUGCUCGGAAUCACUGGGCGUAAAGGGUGCGUAGGCGGGUCUUUAAGUCAGGGGUGAAAUCCUGGAGCUCAACUCCAGAACUGCCUUUGAUACUGAAGAUCUUGAGUUCGGGAGAGGUGAGUGGAACUGCGAGUGUAGAGGUGAAAUUCGUAGAUAUUCGCAAGAACACCAGUGGCGAAGGCGGCUCACUGGCCCGAUACUGACGCUGAGGCACGAAAGCGUGGGGAGCGAACAGGAUUAGAUACCCCAGUAGUCCCUGUCUCUUAUCC
RNAcentral lists this ribosomal RNA (301 nucleotides) under uncultured bacterium. RNAcentral describes it as "partial 16S ribosomal RNA". It matches the Rfam family "Bacterial small subunit ribosomal RNA", at positions 509 to 809 of the family's 1533-position model. The record is from RNAcentral.